Molecule: ribosomal RNA, 62 nt
Filed under: Aeromonas salmonicida subsp. salmonicida
Lineage: Bacteria; Pseudomonadati; Pseudomonadota; Gammaproteobacteria; Aeromonadales; Aeromonadaceae
Description: partial 23S ribosomal RNA
Source: RNAcentral
UUGAGCUAACCCAUACUAAUUACCCGUGAGGCUUAACCAUACAACACCCAAGAAGUGUUCUG